Non-coding RNA from Cinara cedri, 372 nucleotides. The record is from the annotation of a GenBank genome assembly. NCBI's taxonomy places the organism in Eukaryota, Metazoa, Arthropoda, Insecta, Hemiptera, Aphididae.
CCCACCCACUCCCACUGUGAGAUUGAAAAUACAACGGCUAUGGAUAUUUAUUUACGAUUCUGCGAUUCAACCGUGAAACGUACCGAAUAUAUUUCAGCCGGGUCACGAGAAAAAGCUCGAUUGGUUGAUUAAAAAUCGGGCUUUCGGAUUUCAGGUUCCCGUACAGUGAAAUCGGACGGGGAAAACGAUUCUUCGGCGUGCUCGCGAUUUUUACGUCUCCUGUCGUGGAAAAUUCCACACGAGGCCUGCAUUCCAUUGCGCGCAGAACUUUACGAAACAUAUCCAACGGUAUUCAAACAGGCUUGUUGAAUGCUGUUGAAAUUUUUUCGAACCCUCUCCUUCUUAAGAUGUUCUACGUUCACACUUGUUGGA